This 792-nucleotide ribosomal RNA is filed under the name uncultured bacterium. Its description in RNAcentral is "bacterial SSU rRNA". It matches the Rfam family "Bacterial small subunit ribosomal RNA", at positions 59 to 844 of the family's 1533-position model. The record is from RNAcentral.
CAGUCGAACGGCAGCACGGACUUCGGUCUGGUGGCGAGUGGCGAACGGGUGAGUAAUAUAUCGGAACGUAUCCAAUAAUGGGGGAUAACUAAUCGAAAGGUUGGCUAAUACCGCAUACGCCCUACGGGGGAAAGCUAGGGACCUUCGGGCCUGGCGUUAAUGGAGCGGCUGAUAUCUGAUUAGCUAGUAGGUGAGGUAAAGGCUCACCUAGGCGACGAUCAGUAGCUGGUCUGAGAGGACGACCAGCCACACUGGAACUGAGACACGGUCCAGACUCCUACGGGAGGCAGCAGUGGGGAAUUUUGGACAAUGGGCGAAAGCCUGAUCCAGCCAUUCCGCGUGAGUGAAGAAGGCCUUCGGGUUGUAAAGCUCUUUCGCAAGGGAAGAAAACUUAGGCGCUAAUAUCGCUUGAGGUUGACGGUACCUUGAUAAGAAGCACCGGCUAACUACGUGCCAGCAGCCGCGGUAAUACGUAGGGUGCGAGCGUUAAUCGGAAUUACUGGGCGUAAAGCGUGCGCAGGCGGUUUUGUAAGUCAGAUGUGAAAUCCCCGAGCUCAACUUGGGAACUGCGUUUGAAACUAUAAGACUAGAAUAUGUCAGAGGGGGGUAGAAUUCCACGUGUAGCAGUGAAAUGCGUAGAGAUGUGGAGGAAUACCAAUGGCGAAGGCAGCCCCCUGGGAUAAUAUUGACGCUCAUGCACGAAAGCGUGGGGAGCAAACAGGAUUAGAUACCCUGGUAGUCCACGCCCUAAACGAUGUCUACUAGUUGUUGGGUGGAGUAAAAUCCAUGAGU